RNAcentral lists this transfer RNA (82 nucleotides) under Nanobdellota archaeon. RNAcentral describes it as "tRNA-Ser". It matches the Rfam family "tRNA". Rfam says of the family: Transfer RNA (tRNA) molecules are approximately 80 nucleotides in length. Their secondary structure includes four short double-helical elements and three loops (D, anti-codon, and T loops). The record is from RNAcentral. Lineage: Archaea; Nanobdellati; Nanobdellota.
GCCCAGAUCGCAUAGCCUGGUAUUGCGCGGGAUUGCUAAUCCCGUUCCUUUGGAAGCGUGGGUUCAAAUCCCACUCUGGGCG